UGCCCCAUGGCUGAGUUGGUUACAGCGUCCGACUGUUAUUCUUCAUGCAAGCAAGGGACAUCGGAAGGUCGUGAGUUCGAGCCUCACUGGGGCAG
The sequence is a transfer RNA, 95 nucleotides long. It matches the Rfam family "tRNA". Rfam says of the family: Transfer RNA (tRNA) molecules are approximately 80 nucleotides in length. Their secondary structure includes four short double-helical elements and three loops (D, anti-codon, and T loops). Further hydrogen bonds mediate the characteristic L-shaped molecular structure. tRNAs have two regions of fundamental functional importance: the anti-codon, which is responsible for specific mRNA codon recognition, and the 3' end, to which the tRNAs corresponding amino acid is attached (by aminoacyl-tRNA synthetases). tRNAs cope with the degeneracy of the genetic code in two manners: having more than one tRNA (with a specific anti-codon) for a particular amino acid; and 'wobble' base-pairing, i.e. permitting non-standard base-pairing at the 3rd anti-codon position. The record is from Rfam.